This 547-nucleotide ribosomal RNA is filed under the name Globigerinoides ruber albus. Its description in RNAcentral is "SSU rRNA". It matches the Rfam family "Eukaryotic small subunit ribosomal RNA", at positions 1290 to 1605 of the family's 1831-position model. The record is from RNAcentral. Lineage: Eukaryota; Foraminifera; Rotaliida; Globigerinidae.
GUUCUUAGUUCGUGGAGUGAUCUGUCUGCUUAAUUGCGUUUCAAAUUUUUAACCGAGGACCGGGUUUUGGUUUGGCUAGUGGUCCUACGAUGACUGUGAACUGUCAUGUCUUCGGAUGUACGACUAUCGGUCUAGGAUCACAUGACUUGCCCCUGGGACUCUUUUGAACGCAACGGACGUGAUUGCAACCCCUUGUUGAGAUUAGAGAUAGUCUCGAUAUUCACUGGCCAAACUGGCUGCUUUAUGCAGUCUUGUUGAAUGGUGGAUAAACUCGGGGGACUGCUGACUAUAACCAUUUCUCAAAACAGAGGAAGGUUGCGGCAAUAACAGGUCUGUGAUGCCCUCAGAUGUCCCGGGCUGCACACGUGCUACAAUGAGUGGCGCAAUGUGCUAAUGUUUUAAGGGAUAAGCGUGCGGCCAGUAGAACGUCGGCAAUUGCCCUGGCGUCUUCUACCGCACGAUUAUCAGCCUUCCCUUAACAGGGCGGGCAACCUUUUCAAAAUACCGGUUUGAUGUUAAAGUAUAGAGUCGUUUUUUUUGGAUGGUG